Molecule: ribosomal RNA, 450 nt
Filed under: uncultured bacterium
Lineage: Bacteria
Description: bacterial SSU rRNA
Rfam family: Bacterial small subunit ribosomal RNA
Source: RNAcentral
GUGGGGAAUAUUGGACAAUGGGCGCAAGCCUGAUCCAGCAAUGCCGCGUGGGUGAAGAAGGCCUUCGGGUUGUAAAGCCCUUUUGUACGGGAAGAAAUCCUGUCGGUUAAUACCCGGCGGGGAUGACGGUACCGUAAGAAUAAGCACCGGCUAACUUCGUGCCAGCAGCCGCGGUAAUACGAAGGGUGCAAGCGUUAAUCGGAAUUACUGGGCGUAAAGCGUGCGUAGGCGGUUCGUUAAGUCUGUCGUGAAAGCCCUGGGCUCAACCUGGGAAUGGCGAUGGAUACUGGCGAGCUAGAGUGUGAUAGAGGAUGGCGGAAUUCCCGGUGUAGCGGUGAAAUGCGUAGAGAUCGGGAGGAACAUCUGUGGCGAAGGCGGCCAUCUGGAUCAACACUGACGCUGAGGCACGAAAGCGUGGGGAGCAAACAGGAUUAGAUACCCGUGUAGUCC